GUUUUAAUAGUUUAAACAAAAUAAUGAUCUUGUAAAUCAUAGAUAGGAUGUACCUUUAAAACU
This 63-nucleotide transfer RNA is filed under the name Pseudomictis brevicornis. Its description in RNAcentral is "tRNA-Thr". Lineage: Eukaryota; Metazoa; Arthropoda; Insecta; Hemiptera; Coreidae. The record is from RNAcentral.